Molecule: ribosomal RNA, 440 nt
Filed under: uncultured bacterium
Lineage: Bacteria
Description: partial 16S ribosomal RNA
Rfam family: Bacterial small subunit ribosomal RNA
Source: RNAcentral
CCUACGGGUGGCAGCAGUGGGGAAUAUUGCACAAUGGCGGAAACCCUGAUGCAGCGACGCCGCGUGAGUGAAGAAGUAAUUCGUUACGUAAAGCUCCAUCAGCAGGGAAGUAAAUGACGGUACCUGAGUAAGUUGCCAUGGACAACUACGUGCCGGAAGCCGCGGGAAUACGGAGGGAGCAAGGGUUAUCCGGAUUUAGUGGGUGUAAAGGGAGCGUAGACGGUGUUCCAAGUCUGGAGUGAAAUGUCGCAGCUUAACUGCGGAACUGCUUUGGAAACUGGAGAACUAGAGUGCGGGAGAGGUAGGCGGAAUGCCUAGUGUAGCGGUGAAAUGCGUAGAUAUUAGGAGGAACACCGAUGGCGAAGGCAGCUUACUGGGCCGUAACUGACAUUGAGGCUCGAAAGCGUGGGGAGCAAACAGGAUUAGAUACCCCUGUAGUC